GCUUGCCCCUCCCCCCUGACUGAGCUGUGAGCCUAGUCUCUUCCGCCGCCCCCCAUUCCCCCACACUGGAAAUUUGCCCAGAUGGAGAUCGGAGGACCAGAAAAAAAGUCAUGCCCAGGAAAACCCAGGAAGAAGACAAAUAAAAAGCAGGGGACAAACAUUUUCUUCCCUUUGCAAGUUGCCUUUGGCUGUCAGAUGCACAGUGACCCUGCUGGCUGCUCUUUGAGCCAGGCUGUUUUCUUAGGACUGGGACGGGCCUGGGUUUCAUGCUAAUGCCAUGUGCGUGUGCACUGCCUGCUGAGGCCAGUGUUGGCUCCAUGUACAUAAUCACAGCCUGUUGUUACAAAUCACUGGAGCAGAAUGGGAUGUUACGGUACAGCUUGAUUUUGUCUCAGUACUAUGGCAAUUAACACAGCAUAUGCAGUGGGCAUGGCUGAACCUCCAAACUAGGGAGGGAGGGGUGUGUGUGUGAGUGAGAGUGAGAGUGAGAGUGAGAGUGACAGCUCCAGCCCUUAGACCAGGACUCAUGCAGCUGGAUGCUCAGCUCCUCACCAGGAUUCAUGCAGCUGGAUGCUCAGCUCCUCUUUGAAUACAGGAUGGGUCAGAACCAUGCCCCUCUCCGAGUCACACGAACCCUUUCUCUGCAAUGGUGCUGAACUCUGGCAGGAGGUAGGGAUAUGUGACAGCUUUGUGUGUCACAAGGAACAGCCAACCCAGACAGUGAUUUCUAAUUCAUGGACUUUUCUUGGCAAGGGAAAUUGGACGAUUUUUUGACUUAGAACUGUGUGAACACAGGGAGCCUUCUUCAUCACAUUUCCAUGUAUGUAUCUCUAGGGAAUGU
This is a long non-coding RNA of Chelonia mydas (Green sea turtle), 841 nucleotides long. RefSeq lists it as uncharacterized. The record is from RefSeq and is a predicted model, not a curated record. Lineage: Eukaryota; Metazoa; Chordata; Testudines; Cheloniidae. The transcript has 3 exons.